CAGUAGCCGCGGUAAAACGUAGGGUGCAAGCGUUAAUCGGAAUUACUGGGCGUAAAGCGUGCGCAGGCGGUUAUAUAAGACAGAUGUGAAAUCCCCGGGCUCAACCUGGGAACUGCAUUUGUGACUGUAUAGCUAGAGUACGGCAGAGGGGGAUGGAAUUCCGCGUGUAGCAGUGAAAUGCGUAGAUAUGCGGAGGAACACCGAUGGCGAAGGCAAUCCCCUGGGCCUGUACUGACGCUCAUGCACGAAAGCGUGGGGAGCAAACAGGAUUAGAUACCCCCGUAGUCCCUGUCUCUUAUAC
Molecule: ribosomal RNA, 301 nt
Filed under: uncultured bacterium
Lineage: Bacteria
Description: partial 16S ribosomal RNA
Rfam family: Bacterial small subunit ribosomal RNA
Source: RNAcentral